CGAAGCCAUCGUGGAUACGAUGGGUUACAUCGUGGCCACGAUGAGAAGGAAACUUGGCGCCCAAGAAAAGAACAAAAUCUGCAAUUUAUUUGGAUUAAAUCUUUUUCAUCGUGUCACGAUGGCCACAGGGUGCAUCCAUCGUACCACGAUAUGCCUUGAAGCCCAAGUCCAAAAAAAACUAUAAAUAGAGCUCUCCUUCUUCACAAUUAUUGAUUCAAAAGUUGAGAGAACUACAAGUCUCUAAGGAGCAAAGGAGGAGAAGGAAAGAGAGUUAAAAGCUCUCUAGGAAGGCACUCUCCCAUCAUCGGGAGU
RNAcentral lists this long non-coding RNA (312 nucleotides) under Trifolium pratense (red clover). Its description in RNAcentral is "long non-coding RNA (TPRA_LNC012567)". Lineage: Eukaryota; Viridiplantae; Streptophyta; Magnoliopsida; Fabales; Fabaceae. The record is from RNAcentral.